CUUAAAAUAAAAAUUAAUUUUUAUAAAUUGAAAUAAAAGUUAUUUAUAUAUUUGUAUUUUAUAGAUAAAAUUAGAUAUUAAUAGUUUAUUUGUACUGUGAAGGAAUAAUUUAAAUUUUAUAUUUUAUGAAAAGAUUAAAUUAAAUUUUAUACCUUGUGUAUUAUGGCUUUUUUAAAAAAAUAAUAUAUCUUAUUAUUCUCGAAUUAUUAAGAGCUAAAUAAUUUGAUCAAAUAUUGUUAAAAAACUAUUUAAAAUUUUAUUUAGAGAUGAAAUAUUAAACAAUUAAAAAGAUUUCUAGUUUUUUAAGAAAAAAAUUAAAUUUUAUAAAUUAUAAUUAUUGUAAUUUUUGAAUAUAUAAUGGGAUAAGCUAUUAUAUAGAUUUAUUAUAUAGUUAAAGUUAAAUAUUUAUUUAGAAUUAAAAGUGUUUUAAUUUAAGUGUUUUAUAACAUUUUGUUAUAAUAAAAUUAAUUUUUAUUUUAAGUUAAUAAAAUUUAUUAAAAAGUUUUUUAUAAUAAAAUAUAAAAUGAUAUUAUGGAAAUAUUAGUAGAUUAAUUUGUUUAAAUAGAAAAUUAAAUUAAAUUAUUAAUUUAUUUAAAAAUUAUAAUUAGAUAAUUUGGCAAAAAUUAGGUUCGCCUGUUUAUCAAAAACAUGGUUUUUUGAAUAUAUAUAAAAAAUUAAAUCUGCUCACUGUAUUUAUGAAGAGUUGCAGUAUAUUAACUGUACGAAGGUAGCAUAAUAAAUUGUUGUUUUAAUUGAAAACUGGAAUGAAUGAUUAGACGAGCUUAGACUAUUCAAAUUAUAAAAAUUGAUUUUUAUUUUUUUGUGAAAAAUCAAAAAUAGAAUAAAUAGACAAGAAGACCCUAUAGAAUUUUAUAAAUUUGGUUCUUUUAUUGUAAGAAUAUAAAAUAUUAUAAUUUAAUUUAUUUUACUGGGGCGGUAAUAUAAUAACAUAUAUAAAAUUUAAUUUUUAAACAUAUUAUUUGAUCCAAUUAGUUUGAUUAAAAGAAAAAAUUACCUUAGGGAUAACAGCAUAAUUUAUUUGGAUAGUUCAUAUUGAUAAAUAAGUUUGUGACCUCGAUGUUGGAUUAAGAAAUCUAUUUAGUGAAGAAAUUAAAAUAGAUAGUCUGUUCGACUAUUAAAUUCUUACAUGAUCUGAGUUCAAACCGGUGUAAACCAGGUUGGUUUCUAUCUUUUAUUAAAUUAGAGAAUUAUUAUUAGUACGAAAGGACCAUAAUAAUUAAAUUAUUUUAUUUUUUUAUAGAAUAGGAAUAUAAUAGUAAAUUUAUUUAAGAUUACUUAUUUAUUUUUAU
This 1310-nucleotide ribosomal RNA is filed under the name Brachycybe lecontii. RNAcentral describes it as "16S ribosomal RNA". Lineage: Eukaryota; Metazoa; Arthropoda; Diplopoda; Playtdesmida; Andrognathidae. The record is from RNAcentral.